Molecule: non-coding RNA, 29 nt
Filed under: Mus musculus (house mouse)
Lineage: Eukaryota; Metazoa; Chordata; Mammalia; Rodentia; Muridae
Source: RNAcentral
UGCAGUUAGCUCUGGAACUUGAGGAGAGG